Molecule: ribosomal RNA, 468 nt
Filed under: uncultured bacterium
Lineage: Bacteria
Description: partial 16S ribosomal RNA
Rfam family: Bacterial small subunit ribosomal RNA
Source: RNAcentral
GACGAACGCUGGCGGCGUGCCUAAUACAUGCAAGUCGAACGGAAAGGCCCUGCUUUUGUGGGGUGCUCGAGUGGCGAACGGGUGAGUAACACGCGAGUAACCUGCCCUUGUCUUUGGGAUAACUUCAGGAAACUGGGGCUAAUACCGGAUAGGAGCUCCUGCUGCAUGGUGGGGGUUGGAAAGUUUCGGCGGUUGGGGAUGGACUCGCGGCUUAUCGGCUUGUUGGUGGGGUAGUGGCGUACCAAGGCUUUGACGGGUAGCCGGCCUGGGAGGGUGACCGGGCACAUGAGGACUAAGAUAGGGCCCAGACUCCAACGUGAGGCAACGGUGGAGAACAUGGCGGAAUAGGCGGGAGCCUGAUGCAGCGACGCCGCGUGCGGAAUGACGGCCUUCGGGGUAUGAACCGCUUUCGCCUGUAACGAAGCGUGAGUGACGGUAAUGAGUAAGAAAGCACCGGCUAACUACGUG